UCCUACGGGAGGCAGCAGUGGGGAAUAUUGGACAAUGGGCGAAAGCCUGAUCCAGCCAUGCCGCGUGUGUGAAGAAGGUCUUCGGAUUGUAAAGCACUUUAAGUUGGGAGGAAGGGCAGUAAGCUAAUACCUUGCUGUUUUGACGUUACCGACAGAAUAAGCACCGGCUAACUCU
This 175-nucleotide ribosomal RNA is filed under the name uncultured Pseudomonas sp. RNAcentral describes it as "partial 16S ribosomal RNA". It matches the Rfam family "Bacterial small subunit ribosomal RNA", at positions 337 to 504 of the family's 1533-position model. The record is from RNAcentral. Lineage: Bacteria; Pseudomonadati; Pseudomonadota; Gammaproteobacteria; Pseudomonadales; Pseudomonadaceae.